CCCAGUAUAAAAAAAUAAUAAAAUAAUAAAAGGGCCACAAAUAAAUACUAGUCCAAUUGCAACAAAAUUACAAACGGGCCACAAAGCCCAAAAACCAAUGUAAAACAGUGGCCCAAAUUCAGUGGCCCAAACCAAACACGGCUCGAAACAGACAGAAACCCUAGGAUUUCCACAGCGCCGCAAGCCUCCAAAUCAGCCCCGAUCUUCACCUGCACAAUAAGGAAAGAAAGCAAAACAGUAUAUGGAAAGAAAUCAAGAGAUUGAGAAUCAAAUCAAUGUAAAUAGUAUUUUAUUUUCAUAUUUCUUAUGUAUAUUAUGGCUAUAUAAAGCCAUUGUUAAGACGAAAAAAGGGGAUGGGAAAUCAAUAAAAGAAGCAUUUUUACAACAUCAAAGAGAAAAAAAACUACUUUCGCAAUAAAAAAAAACUGAGUUCAAAUACAAAAGGGCAAAUCGAUCGAAAAGGUGGAUGUUCAUCAUAUUUUUUAUUAUUGUUAUAUAUUUUUUUAUUUUUUUAUUUUUAUAAACGAAUAAUAUAGAUAUAAAAAGGAAAGGAAAUACCUUUGUUUGAGUCAGAACCGCCGUGGAUGGCCGAGGAAGCCGUCACCGAGGAUUGACGGCCGAAAAUCGGAAGGUUUUCUCGAGAUUUGGGCCCUCUCCAUAAAUAUUUUGGCAAUCUCAGGAUUAGAUUCGAGUUUAAAGGCUUUAGAAGGUUCAGAUCUGAAAUUUUUGGCUCUCUGACCACCGCAUACGGCGGCGUCGCCGCCGAUGGCUGGUGGCCAGAGCGAUUUCCGAUGACCGGCCGACGCCGGACUAAGGCCGGACGACUGGGAAAGGGGAGAGCUCUUUUUGAAGGUUUUUGUUUUUUU
Molecule: long non-coding RNA, 866 nt
Filed under: Gossypium raimondii (Peruvian cotton)
Lineage: Eukaryota; Viridiplantae; Streptophyta; Magnoliopsida; Malvales; Malvaceae
Description: long non-coding RNA (GRAI_LNC008881)
Source: RNAcentral